UAAUUAGCUACAUUUAGGUACAUAUGUAAUAAAUCAACUCUUCGAGGUACUGAAAAAAACUCUUUCAAAAUUAUUUGCGGAUCGAUUUUGACAUCGCGAUGUACAUUGAGUGAGGCUAAGCCGUUCAGGCGAUCUUCAGACAUUGUUGAUCUCAAAUACGUUUUCAGUCGUCGCAAAGUUGAGAAGGAUCGUUCAUUCGUCGCUGUUGUCACAGGCAAAACUGCCAUCACGCGAAGCAUCUGGUUAACAUUUGGAAACGCAUCUUCAUUACAAAUAUCGAGUGCUUCAAAUUUCAAUCGUCGUGCAAAAUUGAACAGUAUGGUUGGAAUAGUUGAGCGCAGGACUCUUCCUCGAAAAUUUGCAUUUUGUUGGGAAAAAGGCAAGCGAAAUUUGAUAAAAAAUUGCGGUGAUUUAAGAAUCGAGAUUGCAAUUGUACCAGAAACGAAUCAAUAUACGCCUCUCCCAGAUCUUGAUUUUCUCCUUGAAGUACUCGACUCAGGGACAAUGUGAGAGAAUGCACCGAGCUCAAAAUAUGCAUGGAUAUCUGGAAAUUCGCGGUUUUUAUAGCUGAAAGUAGUUGAAAAGCUCCAGACGAAGUCGUUUGGUCUUUCCAGGUAGUAGAAAUCACUUCAAGAGCGCGAAUCACUGCUGGUUGCAAAUGAAGAUAUGUUGCGACGGACUCGUGCUGCUCUACCCAUCUGGUUUUACAA
Anastrepha obliqua is the source of this 710-nucleotide long non-coding RNA. RefSeq lists it as uncharacterized. The transcript is spliced from 3 exons. The record is from RefSeq and is a predicted model, not a curated record. Lineage: Eukaryota; Metazoa; Arthropoda; Insecta; Diptera; Tephritidae.